UGUAAAACACAGAUACCCCCCCUCAUCACUGAAAGGACAGUGAAACCACUUCUUUAAAAUGUCAAUAUAAACCCAAAGUCAUUAGACAUAAUAGAACAGCACAGUUUCAAAAAAAUAAUUGUUUUCAAUCCAACCCAACACAUAGAGAAAAACAUCAACAAGAUCAGGAUUCAUCUCAGAAAAUCCUGUGUCCGCAUCUAUCCAGGGCAAAAGCACAAAGGUGCACAGGGUCUGUACAGGUGUAGGACAGGUGCGCAGGUGUAGGGCAGGUUCUGACAGGUUUUUUUUUUUCUUCCCCUCUCUCCAAUGCUCUGGAAAAUUUCACUCGGUGCUGAGGGUCUCCAUGGCGACAAAAGCACAAAUUAAUAACAAUAAUAAAGACACGAGGGGGGGGGG
Anguilla rostrata (American eel) is the source of this 396-nucleotide long non-coding RNA. RefSeq lists it as uncharacterized. Lineage: Eukaryota; Metazoa; Chordata; Actinopteri; Anguilliformes; Anguillidae. The record is from RefSeq and is a predicted model, not a curated record. The transcript has 2 exons.